Molecule: long non-coding RNA, 2129 nt
Filed under: Lathyrus oleraceus (garden pea)
Lineage: Eukaryota; Viridiplantae; Streptophyta; Magnoliopsida; Fabales; Fabaceae
Description: Pisum sativum (pea) long non-coding RNA (PSAT_LNC034121)
Source: RNAcentral
GAAACUUUACCUUGUCCAAACAAAGGGUGCAGCCAGUUUGUGAGGUGCAAUGAGCAGUAUGAAUGGGCCUGGACUCAGGCUGGCCCAAGACAGAAUAUGAAGCCAAAUGAGGAGUUCAACAACAAUUCCACGUUCAAACCAUUGUUCCCCACUGCACAUCCUUCACCAUAGCGAAAUUCUGCCACCACAUCGUCGCGCCGGAAAUCGCCUCUGAUGGCGAUAGAGGCUCAAAAUACAUGAAUCACACCUUAAAAUACUCAUCUCAAUAAGCUCCAUAGAAGCCCUAAACCAAUUCCAACUAAAUCCUUUUCCUAUGCUCAAAUCUAAAGGGUUAAGGGAAUAACCCUAACAUCCAAGUUCAACCAUACCAAGGUCUCAACACGGAAAUGGGAUGCAAACCCUAGGGAUUUGGUCCAUAUGGCAUAAAUAUACAUCUUAACAACAAUGAAUCGCGAAGAAGAAGACACAUAUGCGUGAGGUCUCAGAUGAAGUUAAUUGCACAAAAAUACUAUAGGCAAAUAUACCAGGUAAUAUCAAUUCUUCACUUUAAGUGCCUGCCGAUUCUUCUUCUCCUCAAUGCCUAUAGUUUGUAGGAAAAAAAUUCUUUCUAUUUGUUGUGAAUGGUUCUGCGAUUGGGAUUGAUGAGAGGUGCGCAAGAGUGAGAGAGGUUGGGUUUUGAGAGAUUGAGAUGAAUGAGUUGUUGCAGAGAGAAUGAGGUUCAGAGUGAUGAGGCUUAGCUUGAGCACAUUGAAGCUUACAGGUGAAGCUUCAAUGGCUACCGAGGAUGAGCUCUAGGUGAGGAGUAAUGAGAGAUGGAUUGCAGAGAGAUUCUGAGAGAAGAUGAGAGUAAGGAAUCGAUCCCCCUGAAUGAGUAUGAAGGUUUCAUUAUAUAGGAUGCAGGUUCAGGUCAAAUGGAGGAUUAAAGUGAGGUUCAAAGUUGGUUAUGAUGAGCUUAGUGAGAUGCUUCUGUUAACUCAUUGAGUUUUGUAGUUAGCUGCACUCUCUUAAUUAGUUAGGACAGUUAGUUUAUCGUCACUAUUUUAAAAGUUAGUUAAAUGAGUUAGCAAAGUCAGCUAGUAGAUUGGAAUUAGGAAGUUAGGGAAAUCAAUUGGUGGGCUAGUAAUUAUAGUGAUUAUUAGUGAAAAUCAACCGUUAGAGAUAAAUCACCAUUGUCUCAUAGAGUGUGAAUUUAAUGGUUAAUGUUAACAAUUGAAAUCGAGUUGGUUUGAUUGAAAGUGUGGUUGCUGGUCUUGUUAUGUGAUAUGGUAUGCUUGGAAUUUGUUUUUAUGAAUGAUAAUUAUUGAACUUGGAUGGCUAUGCUUGCCAAACUGUUUUGUUACUAAUGCUUUAUGAUGAUGAAGUGUGGCUUUCUGUUGUGUGAAUUGAUGGUGUUGAAUGUGUCCAUGAUUGUUAUUCCAUUCAUUGCUUGAUGAUCCUUUGUUGACAGUUUAUUAUGAUUUUGUAAGAUUCGUGGACUUGCACGAUUGUUGUUUGUAAUGUUGCAAGCUUAGUGCAGGUUUUGUAGUAGGGUUUUGCUCCUGGUUUGCAAGUUGGUCUACACUUGGUUGCAUUGUAGCAGGUUGUGGGCUUGGUCUGGUUUUGUAGGUCUAUGAGCAGGUUCACAAGCAGGCACACUUUCUCUGGUCUUGCAGGUCUAUAAGCAGGUUCACUUGGUCUGGUUUAUCUCCGGUUUGUGUUGUUGCAGGAUGCUCAGAAUUCGGCUUGGAAAUUGAAGUGCAUUGCUUGGAAUUACGGAGUUUUCACAUUGCUUUUGGUCAUGGAGUUUUUGAACAUUUGUAAUUGGUUUAAAUGGAUGUAAUUCUGUAUGUGGUUUAUGUCAUGUAGGAUAAGGCAUAUGCAUGGAUGGUUGUAUAUAAUUGAUGGAAUUGGAUUUUAUAAAUGGUUUAAAUUGUAAUUGAAAAGUAAUUUGAAAAAUGAAAUGGUAAUGACUUGUAAAUGGUUUUGGAAUUUGGCAUUUGAAUGGUACAUGUUGAUAUGAACAUGAAAUUUGGACAAGGUUAACAUGGAACAAUAUUGAAAUGUAGCAUGGCUAGAAAAGAGAAAAAGAAUGGAUUAAUGGUUCAAUGGAUUAUGUGGGUUGACUUUGGUCAAAGUUGACAAAAAAAACU